GGCGCUUUGCCGCAGUGGUUACCGGGUUCGCCUGCUAUUAAGUUGAUCAGCGAAUGUGCUUUGUACACGUGCGUUUUGAUCGCACAGGCGUUG
Sphaerobolus stellatus SS14 is the source of this 93-nucleotide non-coding RNA. The record is from the annotation of a GenBank genome assembly. Lineage: Eukaryota; Fungi; Basidiomycota; Agaricomycetes; Geastrales; Sphaerobolaceae.